UACGGAGGGUGCAAGCGUUAUCCGGAUUCACUGGGUUUAAAGGGUGCGUAGGUGGGUUGAUAAGUCAGUGGUGAAAUCCCCGAGCUUAACUUGGGAACUGCCAUUGAUACUAUCAGUCUUGAAUAUUGUGGAGGUUAGCGGAAUAUGUCAUGUAGCGGUGAAAUGCUUAGAUAUGACAUAGAACACCAAUUGCGAAGGCAGCUGGCUACGCAUAUAUUGACACUGAGGCACGAAAGCGUGGGGAUCAAACAGG
RNAcentral lists this ribosomal RNA (253 nucleotides) under uncultured bacterium. RNAcentral's name for it is "partial 16S ribosomal RNA". It matches the Rfam family "Bacterial small subunit ribosomal RNA", at positions 524 to 776 of the family's 1533-position model. The record is from RNAcentral.